RNAcentral lists this ribosomal RNA (1372 nucleotides) under uncultured bacterium. Its description in RNAcentral is "bacterial SSU rRNA". It matches the Rfam family "Bacterial small subunit ribosomal RNA", at positions 28 to 1381 of the family's 1533-position model. The record is from RNAcentral.
GAUGAACGCUGGCGGCGUGCCUAAUACAUGCAAGUCGAGCGAACGGACGAGAAGCUUGCUUCUCUGAUGUUAGCGGCGGACGGGUGAGUAACACGUGGAUAACCUACCUAUAAGACUGGGAUAACUUCGGGAAACCGGAGCUAAUACCGGAUAAUAUUUUGAACCGCAUGGUUCAAAAGUGAAAGACGGUCUUGCUGUCACUUAUAGAUGGAUCCGCGCUGCAUUAGCUAGUUGGUAAGGUAACGGCUUACCAAGGCAACGAUGCAUAGCCGACCUGAGAGGGUGAUCGGCCACACUGGAACUGAGACACGGUCCAGACCCCUACGGGAGGCAGCAGUAGGGAAUCUUCCGCAAUGGGCGAAAGCCUGACGGAGCAACGCCGCGUGAGUGAUGAAGGUCUUCGGAUCGUAAAACUCUGUUAUUAGGGAAGAACAUAUGUGUAAGUAACUGUGCACAUCUUGACGGUACCUAAUCAGAAAGCCACGGCUAACUACGUGCCAGCAGCCGCGGUAAUACGUAGGUGGCAAGCGUUAUCCGGAAUUAUUGGGCGUAAAGCGCGCGUAGGCGGUUUUUUAAGUCUGAUGUGAAAGCCCACGGCUCAACCGUGGAGGGUCAUUGGAAACUGGAAAACUUGAGUGCAGAAGAGGAAAGUGGAAUUCCAUGUGUAGCGGUGAAAUGCGCAGAGAUAUGGAGGAACACCAGUGGCGAAGGCGACUUUCUGGUCUGUAACUGACGCUGAUGUGCGAAAGCGUGGGGACCAAACAGGAUUAGAUACCCUGGUAGUCCACGCCGUAAACGAUGAGUGCUAAGUGUUAGGGGGUUUCCGCCCCUUAGUGCUGCAGCUAACGCAUUAAGCACUCCGCCUGGGGAGUACGACCGCAAGGUUGAAACUCAAAGGAAUUGACGGGGACCCGCACAAGCGGUGGAGCAUGUGGUUUAAUUCGAAGCAACGCGAAGAACCUUACCAAAUCUUGACAUCCUUUGACAACUCUAGAGAUAGAGCUUUCCCCUUCGGGGGACAAAGUGACAGGUGGUGCAUGGUUGUCGUCAGCUCGUGUCGUGAGAUGUUGGGUUAGGUCCCGCAACGAGCGCAACCCUUAAGCUUAGUUGCCAUCAUUAAGUUGGGCACUCUAAGUUGACUGCCGGUGACAAACCGGAGGAAGGUGGGGAUGACGUCAAAUCAUCAUGCCCCUUAUGAUUUGGGCUACACACGUGCUACAAUGGACAAUACAAAGGGCAGCGAAACCGUGAGGUCAAGCAAAUCCCAUAAAGUUGUUCUCAGUUCGGAUUGUAGUCUGCAACUCGACUACAUGAAGCUGGAAUCGCUAGUAAUCGUAGAUCAGCAUGCUACGGUGAAUACGUUCCCGGGUCU